AGCGAACGCUGGCGGCAGGCUUAACACAUGCAAGUCGAGCGGGCACUUCGGUGUCAGCGGCAGACGGGUGUGUAACACGUGGGAACGUACCCUUUGGUUCGGAAUAACGCUGGGAAACUAGCGCUAAUACCGGAUACGCUCUUUUGGGGAAAGGCUUGCUGCCGAAGGAUCGGCCCGCGUCUGAUUAGCUAGUUGGUGGGGUAAUGGCCUACCAAGGCGACGAUCAGUAGCUGGUCUGAGAGGAUGAUCAGCCACACUGGGACUGAGACACGGCCCAGACUCCUACGGGAGGCAGCAGUGGGGAAUAUUAGACAAUGGGCGCAAGCCUGAUCCAGCCAUGCCGCGUGAGUGAUGAAGGCCUUAGGGUUGUAAAGCUCUUUUGGCCGGGACGAUAAUGACGGUACCGGAAGAAGAAGCCCCGGCUAACUUCGUG
This 433-nucleotide ribosomal RNA is filed under the name uncultured bacterium. RNAcentral describes it as "partial 16S ribosomal RNA". It matches the Rfam family "Bacterial small subunit ribosomal RNA", at positions 29 to 507 of the family's 1533-position model. The record is from RNAcentral.